AGGUUACUGCUAUCGAGGUUCGACUAAGCCAUGCGAGUCGAAUGUAGCAAUACAUGGCGAACUGCUCAGUAACACGUGGACAACCUGCCCUUAGGACGGGGAUAAACCCGGGAAACUGGGUAUAAUACCCGAUAGGUCUCGAUUGCUGGAAUGCAUCGAGAUUUAAAGCUCCGGCGCCUAAGGAUGGGUCUGCGGCCUAUCAGGUAGUAGUGGGUGUAGCGUACCUACUAGCCUACGACGGGUACGGGUUGUGAGAGCAAGAGCCCGGAGAUGGAUUCUGAGACACGAAUCCAGGCCCUACGGGGUGCAGCAGGCGCGAAAACUUUACAAUGCUGGCAACAGCGAUAAGGGAACCUCGAGUGCCAGGUUACAAAUCUGGCUGUCGAGAUGCCUAAAAAGCAUUUCAUAGCAAGGGCCGGGCAAGACCGGUGCCAGCCGCCGCGGUAACACCGGCGGCUCGAGUGGUAACCGUUAUUAUUGGGUCUAAAGGGUCUGUAGCCGGCCGGAUAAGUCUCUUGAGAAAUCUGGCAGCUUAACUGUCAGGCUUUCAGGAGAUAUUGUCUGGCUCGAGGCCGGGAGAGGUGAGAGGUACUUCAGGGGUAGGGGUGAAAUCUUGUAAUCCUUGAAGGACCACCAGUGGCGAAGGCGUCUCACCAGAACGGACCUGACGGCAAGGGACGAAAGCUAGGGGCACGAACCGGAUUAGAUACCCGGGUAGUCCUAGCCGUAAACGAUACUCGCUAGGUGUCGGCCACGGUGCGACCGU
This 766-nucleotide ribosomal RNA is filed under the name uncultured Methanosaeta sp. RNAcentral describes it as "bacterial SSU rRNA". It matches the Rfam family "Archaeal small subunit ribosomal RNA", at positions 21 to 792 of the family's 1478-position model. Lineage: Archaea; Methanobacteriati; Methanobacteriota; Methanomicrobia; Methanotrichales; Methanotrichaceae. The record is from RNAcentral.